Chenopodium quinoa (quinoa) is the source of this 1480-nucleotide long non-coding RNA. RefSeq lists it as uncharacterized. The record is from RefSeq and is a predicted model, not a curated record. The transcript has 6 exons. NCBI's taxonomy places the organism in Eukaryota, Viridiplantae, Streptophyta, Magnoliopsida, Caryophyllales, Amaranthaceae.
AAUUCAUUUGAUCUUUUAGAAAUUGUCUAUUGGUUUUAUAAACAGAUUUCUCUGUGCUGUUAUAUAGCUCAUAUAGCCAUUUAUUUUCAAUGUUUCUCCUCAUUCGAGUUCAAGGCAUACGUAAUAAGACAGCUAUAGUAUAAGACAGCUACGAAAACAAUUUGCUGAAUAUAGUUUAUUUUCAAUAUUUCUCCUCAUGGAUACUUAUAUCGAGCUUCACCUAUAUCGAAUGGAUACUUUUCUGUUCUGAUUCUGUGUUAAAAAUUGAAACUUGUGUUGAUAAUCUAUUGUUUUGGUUAGGGACUUAGGGUCACAACAAUUACCAGUUUUUAUUCUGAAAUUUGAUUAUUUUGCUCAUGAUUAUUAAUUUUCACUCAUGUUUUGAUACUUUUGUCUUGUGAUUAUGUCAUUUCAGUUCAAUAUAGCUGGAAAUUUAAGAGUAAAAUAUCGUUUAAGCUAUGGUUGCAGCAAGUUCAUCUUCCAUUUGUGCAAUAAAUUUGUUCUUUAGAGUGAAGGGUCAACAAUUACUUCACCCAAGAUGUCAAGAUGCUACUUUUACCAUGCUGAAUUUGCCCUGCUUAGGAAGAAGUAUCAAAGUUCUUGUGGAUGCCUCCUGAACAUGUUCUAUUGGAAGAGAAUGUUAAGGCUAACAAGUAUGCAUACUACUGCAUUGAUGCUUUUAAGCUAAGUCCUAACAAUAAGCUGAUUGCAUAUGCGGUGAACAGUGUGAAGUAUGAUUUCAGGUUGUGUUCUACUGUGAUGCUGAGCUAGUCAGUGUGCUGGGGUUGUUUGACUGUUCCUGUGCCUGCUCAGAGCUUCUGUUUUUUCUAUCCCUGCUGGUUUGCUAUGGUCUGUCUUAUAACUUGAAACUAUCUUAUAAUAUUUCUUACUAUUGUUCAUCUAGCUUUAGGUUAGAGAAUCGUCUCUCAAAGCAUAAUAUGUUUCUGCAUCAUAUGCGAGUUGAACAUAAGGAUCUAGUGCCACCCAUGAUCAUUUCUGGAAAUCAGUUUACAAUGAUCAGUCAACACCAAGUAGCUGCAAGGGAAUACUUGGAAGCGCAUAAACAAAUGCUAAAUUCCCCACUAACCAAUCUCUGUGUCGGGACUGCCUUAAUCAAUUUAGCCCUUGGACAUAGACUUCAAAACAAGCAUCAUUGUGUUGCACAAGGCUUAGCUUUCCUUUACAACAAUCUGCGACUUUGUGAAAAUAGCCAGGAAGCCUUGUAUAAUAUAGCUCGUGCAUUCCACCACGCAGGACUUCUCACAUUUCAGGAAGUCUUUUUGGGCUGCUGUUUUUUGUUUUGUUCUCCGUAGUUUUGGCUUUGUGUUAGGUGUUGUCCCGGUCCCUGUUUUAAGUGUAAUGCAAGAAAGGUCGAUCAGAGAUAAGUCUGGAUUAUUUAAUUUUUUUUGGACGAAAAUUGUAAUAUUACAGGCUUUAUAGCCUUUUUUUAAUGAAAAUAUGUAAGUCUAUAUACAUGUUA